This 1439-nucleotide ribosomal RNA is filed under the name uncultured organism. RNAcentral describes it as "SSU rRNA". It matches the Rfam family "Bacterial small subunit ribosomal RNA". The record is from RNAcentral.
UAACACAUGCAAGUCGAGGGGCAUCAGGAAUAAAGCUUGCUUUCUUUGCUGGCGACCGGCGCACGGGUGAGUAACACGUAUCCAACCUGCCCUUUACUCGGGGAUAGCCUUUCGAAAGAAAGAUUAAUACCCGAUAGCAUAAUGAUUCCGCAUGGUUUCAUUAUUAAAGGAUUCCGGUAAAGGAUGGGGAUGCGUUCCAUUAGGUUGUUGGUGAGGUAACGGCCCACCAAGCCUUCGAUGGAUAGGGGUUCUGAGAGGAAGGUCCCCCACAUUGGAACUGAGACACGGUCCAAACUCCUACGGGAGGCAGCAGUGAGGAAUAUUGGUCAAUGGGCGCUAGCCUGAACCAGCCAAGUAGCGUGAAGGAUGAAGGCUCUAUGGGUCGUAAACUUCUUUUAUAUAAGAAUAAAGUGCAGUAUGUAUACUGUUUUGUAUGUAUUAUAUGAAUAAGGAUCGGCUAACUCCGUGCCAGCAGCCGCGGUAAUACGGAGGAUCCGAGCGUUAUCCGGAUUUAUUGGGUUUAAAGGGAGCGUAGGUGGACUGGUAAGUCAGUUGUGAAAGUUUGCGGCUCAACCGUAAAAUUGCAGUUGAUACUGUCAGUCUUGAGUACAGUAGAGGUGGGCGGAAUUCGUGGUGUAGCGGUGAAAUGCUUAGAUAUCACGAAGAACUCCGAUUGCGAAGGCAGCUCACUGGACUGCAACUGACACUGAUGCUCGAAAGUGUGGGUAUCAAACAGGAUUAGAUACCCUGGUAGUCCACACAGUAAACGAUGAAUACUCGCUGUUUGCGAUAUACAGUAAGCGGCCAAGCGAAAGCAUUAAGUAUUCCACCUGGGGAGUACGCCGGCAACGGUGAAACUCAAAGGAAUUGACGGGGGCCCGCACAAGCGGAGGAACAUGUGGUUUAAUUCGAUGAUACGCGAGGAACCUUACCCGGGCUUAAAUUGCAGUGGAAUGAUGUGGAAACAUGUCAGUGAGCAAUCACCGCUGUGAAGGUGCUGCAUGGUUGUCGUCAGCUCGUGCCGUGAGGUGUCGGCUUAAGUGCCAUAACGAGCGCAACCCUUAUCUUCAGUUACUAACAGGUUAUGCUGAGGACUCUGGAGAGACUGCCGUCGUAAGAUGUGAGGAAGGUGGGGAUGACGUCAAAUCAGCACGGCCCUUACGUCCGGGGCUACACACGUGUUACAAUGGGGGGUACAGAAGGCAGCUACCUGGUGACAGGAUGCUAAUCCCAAAAGCCUCUCUCAGUUCGGAUCGAAGUCUGCAACCCGACUUCGUGAAGCUGGAUUCGCUAGUAAUCGCGCAUCAGCCACGGCGCGGUGAAUACGUUCCCGGGCCUUGUACACACCGCCCGUCAAGCCAUGGGAGCCGGGGGUACCUGAAGUACGUAACCGCAAGGAUCGUCCUAGGGUAAAACUGGUGACUGGGGCUAAGUCAUAA